AACGAACGCUGGCGGCAUGCCUAACACAUGCAAGUCGAACGAGACCUUCGGGUCUAGUGGCGCACGGGUGCGUAACGCGUGGGAACCUGCCCUUAGGUUCGGAAUAACUCCCCGUAAGGGGUGCUAAUACCGGAUAAUGUCUUCGGACCAAAGAUUUAUCGCCUUUGGAUGGGCCCGCGUUGGAUUAGCUAGUUGGUAGGGUAAAAGCCUACCAAGGCGACGAUCCAUAGCUGGUCUGAGAGGAUGAUCAGCCACACUGGGACUGAGACACGGCCCAGACUCCUACGGGAGGCAGCAGUGGGGAAUAUUGGACAAUGGGCGAAAGCCUGAUCCAGCAAUGCCGCGUGAGUGAAGAAGGCCUUAGGGUUGUAAAGCUCUUUUACCCGGGAUGAUAAUGACAGUACCGGGAGAAUAAGCUCCGGCUAACUCCGUG
This 433-nucleotide ribosomal RNA is filed under the name uncultured bacterium. Its description in RNAcentral is "partial 16S ribosomal RNA". It matches the Rfam family "Bacterial small subunit ribosomal RNA", at positions 29 to 507 of the family's 1533-position model. The record is from RNAcentral.